AUUUCCUCCAGGAAGCCUUUCUCUGAGGCCUUUCUCCGACCCUUAACAGUUAUUCUGGCUUUAUUAUUUACUAAUGUUGUUAAGUCCAGGACCUCCAUCUUGCAGACAGCAGAUUGUGGGACUUCUUAGCCUCCAUAAUUAUAUCCCUGGAAUUCGGCACCUUUG
This is a long non-coding RNA of Neogale vison (American mink), 165 nucleotides long. RefSeq lists it as uncharacterized. NCBI's taxonomy places the organism in Eukaryota, Metazoa, Chordata, Mammalia, Carnivora, Mustelidae. The transcript has 3 exons. The record is from RefSeq and is a predicted model, not a curated record.